Molecule: long non-coding RNA, 6725 nt
Organism: Lolium perenne
Lineage: Eukaryota; Viridiplantae; Streptophyta; Magnoliopsida; Poales; Poaceae
Source: RefSeq, a predicted model, not a curated record
AUUGAGCUGACACGUAUCUAUUGGAAUGGUUGGCUUUCUGCUGCUAAUCCUUUGUGUGCAUUUUCGGUGCUCCUCUAGAAUAUUUUUGGAUCCCAUUUGAACCCACGUACGGGGUACCAUCAAUAUUGGUCUUCUAUCUGUGUGUCCAUAGCUCUAGCACCGCUUUAGGCAUCCUUUAUUUCUUUUGUCUCCCCACGUGGACUAUCUAGAUGACGCAGGAAGUUUCCAACCGACACACAUUUUCAGAUAUCUUCCUCUCCUCUCUCCACUCAACACGACGGAUUAGAUGUCGAGGAUCUUCCCCACACCACCACCGACGCCGACCUGGCGUCCGUCGACGAUGGCGAGAAGGGGAUCCGCCUCGACGUUCACCUCCCGCCCCACUGCGCAUCCGGCGACACCAAGACAUCGGCGGCAGCGCCGCCCUCCACCACACGUGCUCCUGUGCUCCCACAUGGCCUCCUCCGUGCUCGACCCCCCUACCCAAUCUCUCCAAGGCCGAGCCUUCCCCAGCCGCGAGCUCCCGUUGCCGAUCUCCUUCGUGUCGGCGGCCGUGGUGGGGGUCGGGUCCCGCUCCGGUGUCGCAGCCAUCUGCAAGGCACACCGGCUUCCCGGACAGAGCUCCUCACUUGGACGGCGCCUAGCCUUCUCCAUGGUAUCCGCGCAUCGGCGCUCAGUGCGCAACAUGCCCAUCGACCUGGCCCUAGAGCUCGACGACGCCGACGUCAUAUGGGCCGGAGGAGGCGCGGUGGCAUCAUUGCCGGUUGAUGCCUACGGGCGCACUCUGUCCAUGUUCGUGCGUGCCUCCAUGGCUCUAAGUUGAGCGCGCCGCACCGCGGGAGGCUGCCGGUGGCGUUGGGUUUGGCGGACCGUAAAUGCACGUGAACAUUCCGGACUGCAGUAGGCAGGUCUCCACGGCCACCGAUCUGGGGCGCGGUGUCUGCGCCUGCUCCGGCUCCUCCAGGCGGCGGUGCUGCGGGACGGCGGUGGCCGUGCGUUGUGCGUCGAGCUUCUGCCUGCAAGCCGCACAAUUGCUGGUGGAUGGCGGUCGCGCUGCAGGGCUCCGGCAACUACUGCAGCCGCGACGAGUGUCUCUUCUUUGCAGAUCAAUCAAGAGGGCUAGGACCUUGGAGCCUAGGAGGCUCUUCUUUUACUUUGCUUUCUAAGAAUCUGCUUUCCGUGUCCUCUCUAGCCGUGCUGAACAACAUGGUCUCAUUUUAUUAGAAGUUUAGACAACCCAGGAAUUUGUUUUAGUUAUAAGUAGAGCCAAUUAUUAUGAUGUGGAUGUAAACAUGUUCUUCCCACCAUUAACUUAGUUAUAAUUGUUUGGAACGUGUUAGCAAGAUGCUAAGGUCUCACCUCUCACAUACUGAUUUGGAUGUAGCACAGCACCCAUGUACUGCGAGUCACACAUGUGGAGGGGUGAAUCUUGGGGCUGUAGUGGUUGUAGAAUCUGGUGAUUCACCGGACAGCGAAAUAUAUUGGUUAAAACGCUGAUGAUUUGUCAGUAGGUUUGUUUGCACACUCCCAUUUUUUCCUUGCAGGUGAAACCAUAUAUUUAUCCUACUGAAAUAGUUUCAUUGAGCUCCCUAAUUUCAACUGUCUCACUAAUUACGUGAAUCUGAGAUAUGUCCUGGAACUAAUUGUCUUGAAAAGAAUUGCGAAAGGUGAUGUGUGUGACAAGUCCUAUACUUUGCUUAUGUGUGCUAUAUGAAGAGUUAUUAACGAACUAAUGCCAAUCUGAUGUCUGCUGAACCUUCUCCAAAGAGGCUUGAAGCAGAUGAUUCACCAUUUGUGAAAUGUGAAAGCAGCUAGGUGCAAAAUGUGUAAAUCCAUACAAUUUCUAUUGCCGUGAUGGCGUGAUAGUUCAGUUCUUUACAGGGAGGAAGCUGGAGUAUGAGAUUUAAUUUGUAUGGAUGAAUGUAGAGGUCCACCGGCAUCUAUAUCUAUAUAUUGUACAUGUAUGUUUUUUUUUUGCAUUUUCUCAGUGGCUUAUCUGUCUUGUAUUCGCAGGAAACUGCAUUGCCCAGUGUCGAGUACGAGGUGGCCAUACUGCUGUUUAUCCCAAGCAAGUUCCCUGCAACUCCCAAAGACAUCUAUUGAGGGAUGACAUGACAAAGUAUCUGAAGAGAACCGAGCUCCAGUAGAGAUAUUUCACUAAGCAGCGUGGCACCUGGAGUCUACGCGGCAUUCAUGUGUGUGUGUUUGCCAGCCAAUUGAUGUUCCUUGCAUGCCAUGUGAGUCCACUAGAAUUCUCUCUGAAUCCCUUCUUUUUUUCCAUGGUGGUUGGCCAUGUUUGGUAUAAUGUUGCCAUAGAGGUACAUAGCAUCUGGGCAUGUGGUGAAUAGGACUGAUAUUUAUUGUGUUAGUUCUUGAUAGAUAGCAAGCUAAUCCAUCAGCAUUACAAGGAAAAAUAAUUGAUCCAUCAGGAACAACAACUGCUACUGCAUUAAUCGAAGUGCCUUAUAUUGACUUUUUUUUAAAGGCCUUAUUCAUUGGAAGUAUGUUUCAAAUAUUUUGGGAACAAACUUCUACUGAAAAUUCAGAUCAUACUUGGCGAACCGCACGAGGUCACCAUGCUCAGCUGAAGGCCUUUAGCUGCCGUUGUCAAAUUUUAUUUUAGUAAAAUUUGAAGCCAAAUGGUAGUCUGAGGGUACAUUAAAUAUCCUCUCCCCCUAAAGUUGAUUCGAUGGAUUAUUCCGAACUUCAAUAUGUGAAGCUCUUUGGACCGUGCUAUUACUGGUUAGUAUAUUAUCUAACCAAUGCCAGGAUGUUAAGGUGUGUACUGAUUGAAACUGUUGUUUCAGAACUCUAUUAUAUCCAAAGGAUUAUAGACCUACCAGCCCUAUUGGAAGUUCUGUGUGUGUGCUCCAAAUCAUCUGCAUGUCGUCUUGCCAAACAACCACAAGGGGAAGCACCCUCCAUUAUAAAUUUGCUUAUAUUCAGGGACUUGCUUUUCAAUUUAGAACCUAGAGAUAGCUUUUGACACCAGAGGCCCUGACUGCUUUGUUUUUGCACAUGGAAACCAAACUUCCCAUUAACAUCCUAGCAAUAUAGCUGCCUAUAAAAACAUGAAUAAAUUCUGGCGCAUCUCUUGGCCAUUCUUGCGCUCGCGGUGGCACCUCUGCCUUCCGUGCCAAUUUUCCUGCAUCUUCCCGCGUUCAUCAUCGUGGCCGACAACCUCUGCCUCACCAUCUUCUCCUCACUGACGCCUCCCUGUUUCGGUUGCUGCCCUGGGUCGCCCGCGGUGACUGAAUGUGGACGAGAAGAGUAGCCAUGCAGACAACCUUGGUGAAGGAUCUAUCACCUCGGGGAUUUCAAUGGAAGAUCAUUGUGUGUCGCUCGAAUCUGGAAACAUAGGGAUCAAGUGACCCGAUGUAAUUUGUUCGAGCUGGACUCCAUUGUCAUUGACUAAGAGGUACCUUCUAAAUACUCAGACUCAUAAAUACAAUGCAUUUAAUUAACUUGAAUUAUUUACCCCCUUAUUUGUCAGUACCCACUAUAUUAUAUGAAAAAUAUUCAGUGGACACUUAUGUUUUUACCUGUAGGGAUUCGUAGCAUAGAAAACAAAAAUUUUCCUACCGCGAGAACGCAAUCCAAGCCAAGAUGCAAUCUAGAAGACGGUAGCAACGAGGGGAUGAACGAGACUAACCCUUGAAGAUUUCCAAAGCCUACAAGAGGAGGCUCUCGUUGCUGCGGUAAACGAUCACUUGCCGCUUUCAAAAGCGCGUAGAAGAUCUUGACGGUGCCACAAUCGGGCAGCACCUCCGUACUCGGUCACACGUUCGGUGUUGAUGAAGACGACGUCCUUCUCCCCGUUCCAGCGGGCAGCGGAAGUAGUAGAUCCUCCUCGGAAUCCCGGCAGCACGACGGCGUGGUGGCGGUGGUGGUGGAGAUCUCCGACAGAGCUUCGCCUAAGCUAUGUGGGAGAGAGAAGGAGAAGGGAACCGCUAGGGUUUCUGGGAGAGGGGGGCUCUUGGGGGGUGCGGCCAUGGUGGUCUUGGUCUGGCCGGCCAGCCCCUCCCCUCCCCUCUUUAUAUAGGUGGAAGCCCUAAGGAUUAGGUCAAAAGUCUCCGAAUAAGACCCCAACAUAAAACCUUCCAUAUGACCAAACCUAGGGGGAGUGGGACUCCCCCCUUUCCUUUGGUGGGGUGGCCGGCCACCAUGGGGAGGAGUCCACUUGGGACUCCUCCUCCCUUAGGCUGGCCGGCCAAGGUGGGUGGAGUUCCAGAAGUCCCUCUGGGACUCCACCUUCCAUGCUUAUUUCUUCCGGACUCUUCUAGAACCUUCUAGAACCUUCCAGAGAAAAUACCGGAUCAUUUUCAAACCUAGAAAAUGACUUCUAUAUAUGAAUCUUAUUCUCCGGACCAUUCCGGACCUCCUCGUGAUGUCCUGGAUCCCAUCCGAGACUCCGAACAAAACUUCGAACUCCAUUCCAUAUUUCCAUAUCUACUUAAACGACAUCAAACCUUAAGUGUGUCACCCUACGGUUCGCGAACUAUGCAGACAUGGUUGAGACUUCUCUCCGACCAAUAACCAAUAGCGGGAUCUGGAGAUCCAUAAUGGCUCCCACAUAUUAAACGAUGACUUAGUGAUCGAAUGAACCAUUCACAUACGAUACCAAUUCCCUUUGUCACGCGAUAUUUUACUUGUCUGAGGUUUGAUCAUCGGUAUCUCUCUAUACCUUGUUCAACCUCGUCACCUGACAAGUACUCUUUACUCGUACCGUGGUAUGUAGUCUCUUAUGAACUUAUUCAUAUGCUUGCAAGCUAAUUAGACGACAUUCCACCGAGAGGGUCCAGAGUAUAUCUAUCCGUCAUCGGGAUGGACAAAUCCCACUCUUGAUCCAUAUGCCUCAACUCACACUUUCCGAAUACUUAAUCCCAUCUUUAUAACCACCCAUUUACGCGGUGGCGUUUGAUGUAAUCAAAGUACCCUUCCGGUAUAAGUGAUUUACAUGAUCUCAUGGUCGAAGGACUAGGUAACUAUGUAUCGGAAGCUAUUAGCAAGUUGAACUUAAUGACGUGAUCUUAUGCUACGCUUAUUUGGGUGUGUGUCCAUUAUAUCAUUCAUCUAAUGACAUAACCUUGUUAUUAAUAACAUCCAAUGUUCAUGAUCACGAAACCACGAUCAUCUAUUAAUCAACAAGCUAGUUAUACAAGAGGCUUACUAGGGACUCCUUGUUGUUUACAUAACACAUAUCAAUGUUUCGGUUAAUACAAUUAUAGCAUGGUAUGCAAACAUUUAUCAUAAACACAAAGAUAUAUUAUAAUAACCAUUUUAUUAUUGCCUCUUGGGCAUAUCUCCAACAUCCUUUGGAAUACCAGAGAACACCUUUAUGAUCACCCUGUCAUGAAAUGACAUUUGAUGCAAUCAGAGCAGCCUCUGGUGAAAGCGAUGAUAUAUGAUCUCACGGUCUAAGAAUAUAUGUCUUCACGCUUACAUAAACAUCAUAACGUUCAAUUUAGUGACAUGAUUGUGUUACAAUAUUUAUGUAUUGAGUAAUUCCAUCAUAUCAUUCACCUACUGAUACGACUUCAUUGUCAAUGACGUGUGUGCCCAUGAUCGGGAAACAUCGAUCAUCGAUUGACCUCAAUGAACUUGUUUGUGUAUGCUCACUAGGGAUCCUGGUUUGGUUACAAUAUCACGUGUGUAUCAAUGUUUCCAAUUGAUAUAGUUAUAGCAUGACACAAAACUAUUAUGAACUAAUGAGAUAUAAUAAAAUAAAUACUACUUACUAUUUGCCUCUAGAGCACUAUCUCCAACGAAGAAGCGGUGGUUGAUCUGUAGCCGCACCUAUUAGAGUAUAUAAUGUGUAGUCAUAUUAGGUAGUUUAAUGGUCCGAGUGCCAUGAUCUCAGAUCUGAACAUGUUAUUGUUUCAUCAUGAUAUUCAUUGUUUAUUGAUCUUACCUGCAAGUUGUAUACACAUGUCGCUGUCCGGAACCGAUGGCCCCGAAGUGACAGAAAUCGGGACAACCGGAGGGGAUGGUAGUGAUGUGAGGAUCACAUGUGUUCACGGAGUGUUAAUGUUUUGCUCCGGUACUCUAUUAAAAGGAGUACCUUAAUAUCCAGUAGAUUCCCUUGAGGCCCGGCUGCCACCGGCUGGUAGGACAAAAGAUGUUGUGCAAGUUUCUCAUUGCGAGCACGUACGACUAUAUAUGGAACACAUGCCUAUUGAUUGAUUAGUACUUGGAUACCGUUUUAUUAUUAUCUGCAAAUGCCCCUGCUUUGAUUGUUACAUGAGUUUCUCUCAUCAAUGCAACGCCCGUUCAUCCGUCCCCGUGCCUACAGUAUUUUAAUCCUGCUGUUUACUAUAAUCACUGCUGCUGUCUUUGUUACUCUGCUGCUGUUAUUUCACUACUGCUACUGCUAUAAAACUGUUACUAUUGAUAAACUCUUGCGAGCAAGUCUGUUUCCAGGUGCAGCUGAAUUGACAACUCCGCUGUUAAGGCUUCCAAGUAUUCUUUGUCUCCCCUUGUGUCGAAUCAAUAAAUUGGGUUAUACUACCCGCGAAGACUGCUGCGAUCCCCUAUACUUGUGGGUCAUCAGUAUCCUAAUAACUAUGCUCGAUGCCCCUCUUUUUGUUUCUCUUCGACGGAUCAAUCGAUUUAUUUGGAUGUGCUUCAUGGCUCAAUUGUGAUCACUGGAUUACCCGAAAUAAUUUUACUCCCUCCGAUCCAUAUUACUUGAUGGUAAUAUCGGAGGGAGUACAAUUAAGUUAUUU